UACGGAGGGUGCAAGCGUUAAUCGGAAUUACUGGGCGUAAAGGGCGCGUAGGCGGUCUGUUGCGUCAGGCGUGAAAGCCCCGGGCUCAACCUGGGAUGUGCGCUUGAUACGGGCGGACUGGAAGUCGGCAGGGGGUGGUGGAAUUCCCAGUGUAGAGGUGAAAUUCGUAGAUAUUGGGAAGAACACCGAAGGCGAAGGCAGCCACCUGGGCCGAUCUUGACGCUGAGGCGCGAAAGCGUGGGGAGCAAACAGG
RNAcentral lists this unclassified non-coding RNA (253 nucleotides) under uncultured Alphaproteobacteria bacterium. RNAcentral describes it as "contains 16S-23S intergenic spacer region". It matches the Rfam family "Bacterial small subunit ribosomal RNA", at positions 524 to 776 of the family's 1533-position model. The record is from RNAcentral. Lineage: Bacteria; Pseudomonadati; Pseudomonadota; Alphaproteobacteria.